Molecule: ribosomal RNA, 116 nt
Filed under: Enterobacter cloacae
Lineage: Bacteria; Pseudomonadati; Pseudomonadota; Gammaproteobacteria; Enterobacterales; Enterobacteriaceae
Also listed under: 6 other names
Source: RNAcentral
CCUGGCAGCUUUAGCGCGGUGGUCCCACCUGACCCCAUGCCGAACUCAGAAGUGAAACGCCGUAGCGCCGAUGGUAGUGUGGGGUCUCCCCAUGUGAGAGUAGGGAACUGCCAGGC